AUUGAACGCUGGCGGUAGGCCUAACACAUGCAAGUCGAACGAGUGGCGGACGGGUGAGGAAUACAUCGGAAACUACUCUGUCGAGGGGGAUAACGUCUGGAAACGUUAGCUAAUACCGCAUACGAUUGGAUGAGCCCAUGUCGGAUUAGCUAGUUGGCGGGGUAAAGGCACACCAAGGCGACGAUCCGUAGCUGGUCUGAGAGGAUGAUGAGCCACACGGGAAUGGAGACACGGUCAAGACCCCUACGGGAGGCAGCAGGGGGGAAUAUUGGACAAUGGGCGCAAGCCUGAUCCAGCCAUACCGCGUGGAUGAAGAAGGCCUUCGGGUUGUAAAGCCCUUUUGGUGGGAAAGCGGUACCCAAAGAAUAAGCACCGGCUAACUCCGUGCCAGCAGCCGCGGUAAUAC
This 406-nucleotide ribosomal RNA is filed under the name uncultured bacterium. Its description in RNAcentral is "partial 16S ribosomal RNA". It matches the Rfam family "Bacterial small subunit ribosomal RNA", at positions 30 to 526 of the family's 1533-position model. The record is from RNAcentral.